GAGAGCUGUAAGUAAGCUUUGAUCCAGAGAUUUCCGAAUGGGGAAACCCAGCAUGAGUUAUGUCAUGUUAUCGAUAUGUGAAUACAUAGCAUAUCAGAAGGCACACCCGGAGAACUGAAACAUCUUAGUACCCGGAGGAAGAGAAAGAAAAUUCGAUUCCCUUAGUAGCGGCGAGCGAAACGGGAAGAGCCCAAACCAACAAGCUUGCUUGUUGGGGUUGUAGGACACUCUAUACGGAGUUACAAAGGACGACAUUAGACGAAUCAUCUGGAAAGAUGAAUCAAAGAAGGUAAUAAUCCUGUAGUCGAAAAUGUUGUCUCUCUUGAGUGGAUCCUGAGUACGACGGAGCACGUGAAAUUCCGUCGGAAUCUGGGAGGACCAUCUCCUAAGGCUAAAUACUCUCUAGUGACCGAUAGUGAACCAGUACCGUGAGGGAAAGGUGAAAAGCACCCCGGAAGGGGAGUGAAAUAGAACCUGAAACCGUGUGCUUACAAGUAGUCAGAGCCCGUUAAUGGGUGAUGGCGUGCCUUUUGUAGAAUGAACCGGCGAGUUACGAUUUGAUGCAAGGUUAAGCAGUAAAUGUGGAGCCGUAGCGAAAGCGAGUCUGAAUAGGGCGUUUAGUAUUUGGUCGUAGACCCGAAACCAGGUGAUCUACCCUUGGUCAGGUUGAAGUUCAGGUAACACUGAAUGGAGGACCGAACCGACUUACGUUGAAAAGUGAGCGGAUGAACUGAGGGUAGCGGAGAAAUUCCAAUCGAACCUGGAGAUAGCUGGUUCUCUCCGAAAUAGCUUUAGGGCUAGCCUCAAGUGAUGAUUAUUGGAGGUAGAGCACUGUUUGGACGAGGGGCCCCUCUCGGGUUACCGAAUUCAGACAAACUCCGAAUGCCAAUUAAUUUAACUUGGGAGUCAGAACAUGGGUGAUAAGGUCCGUGUUCGAAAGGGAAACAGCCCAGACCACCAGCUAAGGUCCCAAAAUAUAUGUUAAGUGGAAAAGGAUGUGGCGUUGCCCAGACAACUAGGAUGUUGGCUUAGAAGCAGCCAUCAUUUAAAGAGUGCGUAAUAGCUCACUAGUCGAGUGACACUGCGCCGAAAAUGUACCGGGGCUAAACAUAUUACCGAAGCUGUGGAUUGUCCUUUGGACAAUGGUAGGAGAGCGUUCUAAGGGCGUUGAAGCAUGAUCGUAAGGACAUGUGGAGCGCUUAGAAGUGAGAAUGCCGGUGUGAGUAGCGAAAGACGGGUGAGAAUCCCGUCCACCGAUUGACUAAGGUUUCCAGAGGAAGGCUCGUCCGCUCUGGGUUAGUCGGGUCCUAAGCUGAGGCCGACAGGCGUAGGCGAUGGAUAACAGGUUGAUAUUCCUGUACCACCUAUAAUCGUUUUAAUCGAUGGGGGGACGCAGUAGGAUAGGCGAAGCGUGCGAUUGGAUUGCACGUCUAAGCAGUAAGGCUGAGUAUUAGGCAAAUCCGGUACUCAUUAAGGCUGAGCUGUGAUGGGGAGAAGACAUUGUGUCUUCGAGUCGUUGAUUUCACACUGCCGAGAAAAGCCUCUAGAUAGAAAAUAGGUGCCCGUACCGCAAACCGACACAGGUAGUCAAGAUGAGAAUUCUAAGGUGAGCGAGCGAACUCUCGUUAAGGAACUCGGCAAAAUGACCCCGUAACUUCGGGAGAAGGGGUGCUCUUUAGGGUUAACGCCCAGAAGAGCCGCAGUGAAUAGGCCCAAGCGACUGUUUAUCAAAAACACAGGUCUCUGCUAAACCGUAAGGUGAUGUAUAGGGGCUGACGCCUGCCCGGUGCUGGAAGGUUAAGAGGAGUGGUUAGCUUCUGCGAAGCUACGAAUCGAAGCCCCAGUAAACGGCGGCCGUAACUAUAACGGUCCUAAGGUAGCGAAAUUCCUUGUCGGGUAAGUUCCGACCCGCACGAAAGGCGUAACGAUUUGGGCACUGUCUCAACGAGAGACUCGGUGAAAUCAUAGUACCUGUGAAGAUGCAGGUUACCCGCGACAGGACGGAAAGACCCCGUGGAGCUUUACUGUAGCCUGAUAUUGAAAUUCGGCACAGCUUGUACAGGAUAGGUAGGAGCCUUUGAAACGUGAGCGCUAGCUUACGUGGAGGCGCUGGUGGGAUACUACCCUAGCUGUGUUGGCUUUCUAACCCGCACCACUUAUCGUGGUGGGAGACAGUGUCAGGCGGGCAGUUUGACUGGGGCGGUCGCCUCCUAAAAGGUAACGGAGGCGCUCAAAGGUUCCCUCAGAAUGGUUGGAAAUCAUUCAUAGAGUGUAAAGGCAUAAGGGAGCUUGACUGCGAGACCUACAAGUCGAGCAGGGUCGAAAGACGGACUUAGUGAUCCGGUGGUUCCGCAUGGAAGGGCCAUCGCUCAACGGAUAAAAGCUACCCCGGGGAUAACAGGCUUAUCUCCCCCAAGAGUUCACAUCGACGGGGAGGUUUGGCACCUCGAUGUCGGCUCAUCGCAUCCUGGGGCUGUAGUCGGUCCCAAGGGUUGGGCUGUUCGCCCAUUAAAGCGGUACGCGAGCUGGGUUCAGAACGUCGUGAGACAGUUCGGUCCCUAUCCGUCGUGGGCGUAGGAAAUUUGAGAGGAGCUGUCCUUAGUACGAGAGGACCGGGAUGGACAUACCUCUGGUGUACCAGUUGUCGUGCCAACGGCAUAGCUGGGUAGCUAUGUGUGGACGGGAUAAGUGCUGAAAGCAUCUAAGCAUGAAGCCCCCCUCAAGAUGAGAUUUCCCAACUUCGGUUAUAAGAUCCCUCAAAGAUGAUGAGGUUAAUAGGUUCGAGGUGGAAGCAUGGUGACAUGUGGAGCUGACGAAUACUAAUCGAUCGAAGACUUAAUCCCCCCUCAAGAUGAGAUUUCCCAACUUCGGUUAUAAGAUCCCUCAAAGAUGAUGAGGUUAAUAGGUUCGAGGUGGAAGCAUGGUGACAUGUGGAGCUGACGAAUACUAAUCGAUCGAAGACUUAAUCAAAUU
Molecule: ribosomal RNA, 2973 nt
Filed under: Staphylococcus aureus
Lineage: Bacteria; Bacillati; Bacillota; Bacilli; Caryophanales; Staphylococcaceae
Description: 23S ribosomal RNA
Rfam family: Bacterial large subunit ribosomal RNA
Source: RNAcentral